RNAcentral lists this long non-coding RNA (2041 nucleotides) under Homo sapiens (human). Its description in RNAcentral is "HSALNT0011829". The record is from RNAcentral. Lineage: Eukaryota; Metazoa; Chordata; Mammalia; Primates; Hominidae.
UUUUUAGAUGUUGAUUAUUUUACUAUUUCUUUAUUGUUUACCAUAGUUUACAUUAUACUUCAAAUUAUUAAAUUGUCAUGUAAAUCAGGACUGUUAGCACUUUGCAGACACUUUAUUUCUCUAAUAUCUUUUUACAUAUUGUUAUUGUUGUCAUUUAAAUCUACUUAUAUUUAAACACCAUGCAACAUCAUCGUUAUCGUCACAACAGUUAAUAUCCAAUUAUAUUUAUCCAAGUAUUUUUUUCUUUUUUCUUGAUCCUUAUUCUUUCCUUUGUUUACCUCUAUCUUAGAUCGUUUUUCUUUUUCCUAAAGAUCCUAUUUGAGGUCUUUUGUAUCUGUCUAAAAAUAUCUUCAUUUCAACUUAUUUUUUUUGAAGCACAUUAUUUUUGGUUUGUUAUAGUAAAAUAAUUGUUAGGAGUUUUUUUAUUGCUCUGUAAAGCAUUUUUACAAUUGACAUUGGGCUUUCUUCUCUCUCUCCUCUCUCUGUCUCUCUCUGUGUGUGUGUAUGUGUGUGUUUGAAUUUGCUAUUAGUAUUAUAGAUAGCACUUUAUAAGCAGUGCUCCUUUUUUCUUUGGUUGAUUUUUAAAGAUUUUGUAUUUGUUUUUGACAAUCAAGAUUUUUACAUAAUUUGUCUAAAUUUUUUGGGUUUUUUUUUUGCUCUGUUUUAUUUUGCCCCAUAUUUAUAUCACUUUUUGAAUCUGUGGCAUGUUUUAAGUCAGUUUUGGAAAACAUGCAUAUCUCUUCAAGUUUUCUGUUCUCCUUCCUAUUUCUUCUCCUCCUUCAAAAAUGAGGGUACUUUAAUUUUUUUUUAACUUUAUCUCAUGUUCUCUUUGGUGGUUUCUUGUAUUUUCUGUUUGGAUUAUUUACAUAACAGCUUUGUGAAGUUUACAAGUUGCCAAAUAACUUGAAAGAAAUAUCAGUACAGCAAUGUAACCACUGUAUAAGUAAGAACUUGGUCUAGAUGCAUCAGUGGUGUCAUAUAUUUGCAGCUGCCUUCUUGAAUCACAGGGUCUUCACUCAAGGUGUAAAAUAACCCAUCCAAUUUAAACUCCUAUAACGAGUAUUUGAUCAUAUUUACAUCAAGCUGCAGGAAGAUUUUACCCUGAGUGACAGUGUAUUCAGCUAAAAAUGUAAGCAUCACCUUCCUGUUUAAAGUUGGUGUGCCCUAGAUCUUGGCUUUGUUUCCUUUUUUUGUUGAAAGGCACAGCUUAAUGAUCUCAUACUGUCUCAAGGAUACACAUACUAUCUAUAUUCCAAAAAAUAUUAUAUUUGUAUCUCUAACUUAGACUUCUCUCUGGAGCACCAGCUUGCUAUAUCCAUUUCCUACAUUAAGGCUGUGCAUUGUUGUCUAGUAAAUAUUUUAAACUCUACAUAUUCAGAACUAAUUAUGUCCAUCUUUUUUUUUCCAAAACAUGAUUCAUCUAUUCUACAUCUCAGUAACUUGGUCAUUGAACCAAGGAACCUUUCUUUAAUCUUUUCUAAUUCAGGUUAAAUUCUUUUUGGUCUUUCCUUCGAAAUAUACCCCAAAUGAAAUUAUUUCUCAUCACCUUCGUUGCUACACCUAUGUCUGAGCCAGAACCAUCUUUGAAUUGAACUAUUGCAAUUGUCUUCUAUCUGUUUGAACCUUGUCACUCUGCAAGCUAUUCUCAACAUAUUAACUGAGUAGAACUUAUAAAUUGUAAUUCUGAUAAUUUAUCUCUUCUAUUCAAAACUCCAAUGUGGCUCUUCAUUGCACUAAUAAUUAAAGCCAAAUACCCUUUCUAAGCUGCCCCCUCCACUACCUCAUUGACAUAUCUCUCUUUUACUGAUUGCCUUAGGACUCCAAACACACUAACUUCCUUGCUGUUCUGACGUACCUUCAAACAUUUAUUCAUCUGCCCCUCUGCUUGAGUUGCAUGCUUUAGCCUAGUUAUCCACUUGGAUCUGUCAUGUCUUUGCUCAGGUAUUACUUCCUCAAUCAGGACUGCUUUGUUUAUGUUAUUCAGCACUAAAACCUCAUCCCCACAACACUUUAGCAUUUCUUGUUAAUUUUAAUAUUUUUU